This is a long non-coding RNA of Cucurbita moschata (crookneck pumpkin), 579 nucleotides long. RefSeq lists it as uncharacterized. The transcript is spliced from 3 exons. The record is from RefSeq and is a predicted model, not a curated record. Lineage: Eukaryota; Viridiplantae; Streptophyta; Magnoliopsida; Cucurbitales; Cucurbitaceae.
AAAUCAAGAAAAUAAUAUUGGCACGUAGGUUGAUAAAUGAUCUAUAACUUUGUUGAAGAAACCACCUCUGUUUGGAUUAAGAAUCGAAAGAUAGAAAAUGGAAAGAACCUUGGAAAAACUAAUCGGAAAACCUUGAUUUUCUGGUAGGAGGAGAGAGAAGCCGCCGGCGUGCCACGUGUCAACCAACCAGAGGACCGCGAGCGCCAAUCACCCCCGGACACGCGUCGAGCGCCGCCUGGGAAAACGCGGCUCCAGCCUCCUUGCGGCACGCGUCCCUGACAACGCCACCCGAUACCCGCGCCCGUCAGCCUACCCGAUACCCGCGCGGCGAGCCAAACCGAACCGACAACCCGCGGUCCACCCGAGCCACUGCGUUCGAACCGAACCCGCGACCCGCGACUGCAGGAAAUUCUAGGCGCGUGACACUCGCACGUGGAACCCGCGAGUGGUUGCUCCCCGGCGCGUGGCUGGCGCGUGGAAGCGCGUGACCAAAUUGAAGGAAAAUCACCGCCUUUCGAUACGUUAAGUGGGUGGAAACGCUGCUUAAGGACACGCGCCAUCCAGGUACGUGAGGCGUCG